UGGGGAAUAUUGGACAAUGGGGGCAACCCUGAUCCAGCAAUGCCGCGUGUGUGAAGAAGGCCUUCGGGUUGUAAAGCACUUUAGUUGGGGAAGAAGGCGAGUAGUUUAAGAGACAACUUGUUUGACGGUACCCAAAGAAUAAGCACCGGCUAACUCUGUGCCAGCAGCCGCGGUAAUACAGAGGGUGCGAGCGUUAAUCGGAAUUACUGGGCGUAAAGGGCGCGUAGGCGGUUAUUUAAGUUAGAUGUGAAAUCCCUGGGCUUAACCUAGGAACUGCAUUUGAAACUGGGUAACUGGAGUGCGGUAGAGGGUAGUGGAAUUUCCGGUGUAGCGGUGAAAUGCGUAGAUAUCGGAAGGAACACCAGUGGCGAAGGCGGCUACCUGGACUGACACUGACGCUGAGGCGCGAGAGCGUGGGGAGCAAACAG
This 428-nucleotide ribosomal RNA is filed under the name uncultured bacterium. Its description in RNAcentral is "bacterial SSU rRNA". It matches the Rfam family "Bacterial small subunit ribosomal RNA", at positions 355 to 775 of the family's 1533-position model. The record is from RNAcentral.